Cavia aperea (Brazilian guinea pig) is the source of this 103-nucleotide unclassified non-coding RNA. It matches the Rfam family "Y RNA". From Rfam's summary of the family: Y RNAs are components of the Ro ribonucleoprotein particle (Ro RNP), in association with Ro60 and La proteins. The record is from Ensembl. Lineage: Eukaryota; Metazoa; Chordata; Mammalia; Rodentia; Caviidae.
GGCUGGUCCGAUGGCAGUGGGUUAUCAGAACUUACUAACAUUAGUGUCACUAAAGUUGGUAUACCACACCCCCACCACCACUGCUAAAUUUGACUGGCUUAAA